RNAcentral lists this ribosomal RNA (151 nucleotides) under Paraglomus occultum. Its description in RNAcentral is "5.8S ribosomal RNA". It matches the Rfam family "5.8S ribosomal RNA". Rfam says of the family: 5.8S ribosomal RNA (5.8S rRNA) is a component of the large subunit of the eukaryotic ribosome. Lineage: Eukaryota; Fungi; Glomeromycota; Glomeromycetes; Paraglomerales; Paraglomeraceae. The record is from RNAcentral.
AAAACUUUCAACAACGGAUCUCUUGGCUCUCGCAUCGAUGAAGAACGCAGCGAAAUGCGAUAAGUAGUGUGAAUUGCAGAACUUUGUGAACCAUCGAAUCUUUGAACGCAAAUUGCGCCUUUUUCGGAAGGCAUGUCUGUUUGAGGGCACC